RNAcentral lists this ribosomal RNA (253 nucleotides) under uncultured bacterium. RNAcentral describes it as "partial 16S ribosomal RNA". It matches the Rfam family "Bacterial small subunit ribosomal RNA", at positions 524 to 776 of the family's 1533-position model. The record is from RNAcentral.
UACGUAGGGGGCAAGCGUUGUUCGGAAUUACUGGGCGUAAAGGGCGCGUAGGCGGCCAACUAAGUCAGACGUGAAAUCCCUCGGCUCAACCGGGGAACUGCGUCUGAUACUGGAUGGCUUGAAUUCGGGAGAGGGAUGCGGAAUUCCAGGUGUAGCGGUGAAAUGCGUAGAUAUCUGGAGGAACACCGGUGGCGAAGGCGGCAUCCUGGACCGAGAUUGACGCUGAUGCGCGAAAGCCAGGGGAGCAAACGGG